GACGAACGCUGGCGGCGUGCUUAACACAUGCAAGUCGAACGGAAAGGCCCUGGCUUUGUGGGGUGCACGAGUGGCGAACGGGUGAGUAACACGUGAGUAACCUGCCCCUGACUUUGGGAUAACCUCUGGAAACUGCGGCUAAUACCGGAUAGGAGCUCCUGCCGCAUGGUGGGGGUUGGAAAGUUUCGUCGGUUUGGGAUGGACUCGCGGCUUAUCAGCUUGUUGGUGGGGUAGUGGCUUACCAAGGCUUUGACGGGUAGCCGGCCUGAGAGGGGGACCGGCCACAUUGGGACUGAGAUACGGCCCAGACUCCUACGGGAGGCAGCAGUGGGGAAUAUUGCACAAUGGGCGGAAGCCUGAUGAAGCGACGCCGCGUGCGGGAUGACGGCCUUCGGGUUGUAAACCGCUUUCGCCUGUGACGAAGCGUGAGUGACGGUAACGGGUAAAGAAGCACCGGCUAACUACGUG
This 468-nucleotide ribosomal RNA is filed under the name uncultured bacterium. RNAcentral's name for it is "partial 16S ribosomal RNA". It matches the Rfam family "Bacterial small subunit ribosomal RNA", at positions 28 to 507 of the family's 1533-position model. The record is from RNAcentral.